Vicia villosa (hairy vetch) is the source of this 1055-nucleotide long non-coding RNA. RefSeq lists it as uncharacterized. The transcript has 4 exons. The record is from RefSeq and is a predicted model, not a curated record. NCBI's taxonomy places the organism in Eukaryota, Viridiplantae, Streptophyta, Magnoliopsida, Fabales, Fabaceae.
CACGUUUCAACACCUUUUCUCUCAUACAGCGCCUUUACGUCUCCUUUUUUUCUACCCUAAUCCUAGCCGCCGCAGCCCCUUCUCUCUUUCUCUUCGUCUUCUCUCCUAUCUCUUUUUUGCUGAAACCGUAAAAACACUGCCGCCGCUGCCUUUCUCCUCUUACUUUGUAAUCUCUCCUUUUUCAGAUCAAGAUCCUCCAUUCUCUCACGUCAAUUUUGAGACUUAAAAAACAGAUCCAUUUCUUCAUCCAUAUCCAACAUCUUGCCAUUUCAUCUGAGGCAAACUCCUGUUUUCAUGGAACUUAAUCUCCAUUUCAUGAUUUCAUGGUUUUUUCACUCCUCGCGGAUACCAACAUCAUGGUUUUUUAAGAUCCACGGGUCACUCUUCACGAAAAUGAAGAAAAAGACAGAAAGAGGUGAAGAGGUAGAAGACAACAAAAGACAUUCAACACCAAUGGAACCCGUACUUUGGCACCGAGAGAGUGAGAUCCAUAGUGUUACAUGUUCUGGAGUUUAGUAGCCGCGUGUGACCUAGCCGGAGGUUCUUCCUUGGUUAUUGGAGACUAGCAUUGUCAAAUAUUAAUGAGGACAAAACAACACCAAUGGAUGGGGAAGACAAAAGCAACCAAGAUAAGUCAAAUUUCAUUCGGUGAAUAAGUUUCCUUACUUUUGCACUCUUCAUGUUUGAUAUAAUGCUUCUUUGAACUUUUACUUAUAACUCAACUUUUCAAAUAAUGUUUAUAAAACUGAGAUUUUAUUUUAUUUUGUUUAAAUUUUAUUUUGUAAUUUGAAGUUUAUGAUUAAUCUAAUAUAAAUUAGUAGUUUAUGAUUUAUUUUUUUAUUUUUUUUAAAACUGAGCUUUUAUUUCAUUUUGUUUAAAUUCUUAUUCUGUUAAUUCAUGUUCAUAUCUUGGAGCUUGACUUAGUUUAGCAUGAGUUUUGAGCUUGUCUAUAUUUCCUUACAGAAAUUGCUUGGUGCUGCUGGAUUGUUUGUAGGAUCAGUAGUCCUGAUGCGAAAUUAUGGCGACCUUAUGGCAAUCUAAGAGUAGAAGACUUU